Molecule: transfer RNA, 74 nt
Filed under: Enteractinococcus helveticum
Lineage: Bacteria; Bacillati; Actinomycetota; Actinomycetes; Micrococcales; Micrococcaceae
Description: tRNA-Arg
Rfam family: tRNA
About the family: Transfer RNA (tRNA) molecules are approximately 80 nucleotides in length. Their secondary structure includes four short double-helical elements and three loops (D, anti-codon, and T loops).
Source: RNAcentral
GCCCUCGUAGCUCAGUUGGAUAGAGCAGCGCUCUCCUAAAGCGCAGGUCGCUGGUUCGAAUCCAGUCGAGGGCA